UCUCAGACACGACUACAUUAGAUACCCGUGUAGUCCUAGCCGUAAACGAUACUCGCUAGGUGUCGGCCACGGUGCGACCGUUGUCGGUGCCGGUAGGGAAGCCGUGAAGCGAGCCACCUGGGAAGUACGGCCGCAAGGCUGAAACUUAAAGGAAUUGGCGGGGGAGCACCACAACGGGUGGAGCUUGCGGUUUAAUUGGAUUCAACGCCGGAAAUCUUACCGGGACCGACGGCAACAUGAAGGCCAGGCUGAAGACUUUGCCGGAUUAGCUG
Molecule: ribosomal RNA, 272 nt
Filed under: uncultured archaeon
Lineage: Archaea
Description: partial 16S ribosomal RNA
Rfam family: Archaeal small subunit ribosomal RNA
Source: RNAcentral